AACUACGGCCAUGCCACCCUGAAUGUGUCUGAUCUUAUCUGAUCUUGGAAGCUGAGCAGGAUUGGGCCUGGUUAGUACUUGGAUAGGAGACCACCUAGGAAUACCAGGUGCUGUAGGUG
Molecule: ribosomal RNA, 119 nt
Filed under: Pteropus alecto (black flying fox)
Lineage: Eukaryota; Metazoa; Chordata; Mammalia; Chiroptera; Pteropodidae
Source: RNAcentral